This 386-nucleotide ribosomal RNA is filed under the name uncultured eukaryote. RNAcentral describes it as "partial 18S ribosomal RNA". It matches the Rfam family "Eukaryotic small subunit ribosomal RNA", at positions 592 to 976 of the family's 1831-position model. The record is from RNAcentral.
CAAUAGCGUAUAUUAAUGUUGUUGCAGUUAAAAAGCUCGUAGUUGGAUUUCUGGUGGAAGCGACCGGUCCGCCCCUCACGGGGUGUGCACUAGCGUCUGUCUUUUGCCAUCCUUGCGAAGAAGCGGUGUGGCAUUAAGUUGUCGCGCCGUCUGACUCGCAUCGUUUACUGUGAAAAAAUUAGAGUGUUUAAAGCAGGCAAUUGCUGUGAAUACAUUAGCAUGGAAUAAUAAGAUAGGACUUUGGUACUAUUUUGUUGGUUUGCGCACCAAAGUAAUGAUUAAUAGGGACAGUUGGGGGUAUUCGUAUUCCGUUGUCAGAGGUGAAAUUCUUGGAUUUACGGAAGACGAACUACUGCGAAAGCAUUUACCAAGGAUGUUUUCAUUAA